This is a ribosomal RNA of Microcebus murinus (gray mouse lemur), 120 nucleotides long. The record is from Ensembl. Lineage: Eukaryota; Metazoa; Chordata; Mammalia; Primates; Cheirogaleidae.
ACUAUCUAUGGCCAUACCACCCUGAACAUGCCCAAUUUCAUCUGAUCUCAGAAGCUAAGCAGGGUUAGGCCUGGUUAGUAUUUGAAGGGGAGUGUUCAAGUGGACCAAGAAUAGACAGUA